Marmota flaviventris (yellow-bellied marmot) is the source of this 1457-nucleotide long non-coding RNA. RefSeq lists it as uncharacterized. The record is from RefSeq and is a predicted model, not a curated record. Lineage: Eukaryota; Metazoa; Chordata; Mammalia; Rodentia; Sciuridae.
UCUUCUACAUGUAGGUCUCAGAAGGUCAUAUAGCUUUGACCUUGUUUGCAGGAGUACUUUCUCCUGGAGCCAGCAUGUAAAACAUCUGCCUACCCUGUAGCUACCAUGCAUGGCUCCCAGCUGUUCCUGAGUAAGAAAACUGCUUAGCAGCUGGGACAAGGGCAACUUGUGUUAUGUGGUGGUGGAACAAUUGGCAAAAAUAUGAUAGAAAAUAUGCCUGUUAUGGUUUGGAUAUGUUUGAGUGAGUCUCCUGAAAGUUUGUGUGCUAGAUGCUUGGUACCCAGCAUAUCAAGAUUUCGAGGUGGCAGGACUUUUAAGAGGUGAGGACUAGUGGAGCAUAAUUAGUCAAAGGGGUUCCACCCUCAUGAAUGGUUAGUGGGUCAGGUUUCCUGGGACUGGGUUAGUCGUAACUCACCAUUGCUUCCUCUCUCACCACAUGAUCUCUCUCCUCUGCACUUCUGUCAUGUGAUGCCAUCUACCACAUUGUGACACAGCCACAAGACCCUCACCAGAUAUACUGGUGAUAUACUGGUAUACUGACCAGAUACCAUCACUAAUCUUGGAUCUGCAGCCUCCAAAAACUCUCCUAUUGGAUGCAGCCUACUCUUGCUUCAUCGUUGAACACCAGUCACAUGGGGCAGAUAACUUGUUCAGGGGUUUUUGAGUCAAGAGGAGGCACAUCUGAGGAGUGUUCCCAAGAGGACUCAGCCACGUCCAGACCAGCUUCACAUUAUGAACUCCUGGACUUGGAGCCCGAUGGCAUAAUGGCAAUCCUGGGAGUCGUCAGUCCAGGCUCUCCGGAAAGUUCAGGGGACAUUGUGGGCCACAGAGAAUGUCCUCUAUCUGGCCAAUAGCUGCGUUUUGGAGAAGAUUCCAGCGUUCAUAGCAGCUGCAAGUGCUGGGGUGCUGCUGCCAGCCCUUCCCUCCAUUCAUUCCAUUAAGCAAUUAACUGAAUGAAAAGGUUGGAAGAACUUCAUUCCACUGCGGUGGCAGCUUUCCUCUGGCAGGGAAGGCUCAGCAUUCUGCUCACAGAUGCUGCUGGCUUCUUGGGCCACCUCCGGGGAGGGGAGGUCUGCAGGAUGGGCCCAGGGUUCCAGCCCAGCAGGGCACCCUCACAGCUGCUGCAUUAUCUCUCUUCCAUGUGUGUUCUCAGGUCUGGGAGACCCAAAGCCAGGCUCCUGCAGCGGGCGUGGCUCCAGGCCUGGCUUCAUCAGAGCUCCCUAUCCACAGCACCCGUGUGAGUGCCAUGCAGCCAUGUCUGGCUGGUAGCUCUUAGUAAUCAGAGCUUCCCAAGUAGGGUGACAGGAAAGGGCUCCUGGCACACCUAGGUAUUGGUCACCCACCUUGGUGGAGCCGGAGCUGUGUGAGCUUCGAGACCUUUUACCUCCAGCCUUUGUCUGUUUACUCCACGAUGACCUGAAGUGUGGUCUAUGCAUGUCCUGAUACCAAAAAAUAAA